This 245-nucleotide ribosomal RNA is filed under the name uncultured Bacillota bacterium. RNAcentral's name for it is "uncultured Firmicutes bacterium partial 16S ribosomal RNA". It matches the Rfam family "Bacterial small subunit ribosomal RNA", at positions 796 to 1041 of the family's 1533-position model. Lineage: Bacteria; Bacillati; Bacillota. The record is from RNAcentral.
CCAGCCGUAAACGAUGGAUACUAGGUGUUGGCGGUUCAGACCGUCAGUGCCGCAGCAAACGUGAUAAGUAUCCCGCCUGGGGAGUACGGUCGCAAGACUGAAACUCAAAGGAAUUGACGGGGGCCCGCACAAGCGGUGGAGCAUGUGGUUUAAUUCGAAGCAACGCGAAGAACCUUACCAGGGCUUGACAUCCCUUGUCAGCCAUAGAAAUAUGGUGUUUCCGCAAGGAACAAGGAGACAGGUGG